UCCCAUACCAAGUAUACAAAUGAUGCCA
RNAcentral lists this non-coding RNA (28 nucleotides) under Mus musculus (house mouse). The record is from RNAcentral. Lineage: Eukaryota; Metazoa; Chordata; Mammalia; Rodentia; Muridae.